Molecule: ribosomal RNA, 468 nt
Filed under: uncultured bacterium
Lineage: Bacteria
Description: partial 16S ribosomal RNA
Rfam family: Bacterial small subunit ribosomal RNA
Source: RNAcentral
GACGAACGCUGGCGGCGUGCUUAACACAUGCAAGUCGAACGGAAAGGCCCUGCUUUUGUGGGGUGCUCGAGUGGCGAACGAGUGAGUAACACGUGAGUAACCUGCCCUUGACUUUGGGAUAACUUCAGGAAACUGGGGCUAAUACCGGAUAGGAGCUCCUGCUGCAUGGUGGGGGUUGGAAAGUUUCGGCGGUUGGGGAUGGACUCGCGGCUUAUCAGCUUGUUGGUGGGGUAGUGGCUUACCAAGGCUUUGACGGGUAGCCGGCCUGAGAGGGUGACCGGCCACAUUGGGACUGAGAUACGGCCCAGACUCCUACGGGAGGCAGCAGUGGGGAAUGUUGCACAAUGGGCGGAAGCCUGAUGCAGCAACGCCGCGUGCUGGAUGACGGCCUUCGGGUUGUAAACCGCUUUCGCCUGUGACGAAGCGUGAGUGACGGUAAUGGGUAAAGAAGCACCGGCUAACUACGUG